GGUCUACAAACGCUCAAACAAAUGCUAUCAAAUAGAAAUUAAUGGAGUACAUUAUGUACAAUAUUUAAUGAUGAUUUACAGGUCUAACAUUCGGAAUUAAUUCUUGGCACUCGAAUUGCUCGAAAAUCACGUCAUCAAGCUCGCCAUCUGCUAGCUCGUAUCUCAGAUUUACAUUGCCGAACGUAUCUAAAUCCGGAAAAACAAUUUGACACGCAGUUUGAAAAGACUACAAUAUGGUAUAUAUUGUAUUUAAAGCAAUGAAGAUCCAGCUUCGACCGUAAUAUUAAAUUUCUAGCAUUUUAAAUUUCUAGUAUUGAUUGUGAUCGAUUUUAAUUAUUGCCAUUCUUUCUCUCCUAGUACUCGCCGGAGCAAUUACCAUAUUACUAACAGAUCGAAAUUUAAAUAUCAUUCUUUGAUUCAUCUGGAGAUGAAGAUCUAUUCUAUUUUAUAUCAACACUUAUUUUGAUUUUUCGGACACUGAAGUUUAUAUAUCGGAGUAUAUAAGAUUAGCGAAACUAUCCUUCUUCUUCUUCUUCUUCUUGUCGAUGGAUUUCUAAUUUCUUAUAGAAAUCACAGCACCUCACUUCCAAAUAAAGAUUACUGGGCUGAAAGGGGCUAGUCAAAUCAAUGUAUCAUUUUAAUAAAACUACCAUUCACAAUGCGUUUGUGAAUGCCACGAUGAGAUAUGAGAGUGGGAGCGAGAGAAGGAGAAGAUGUGAAAGACGAUAACCGAAAUUUGUCAUUUGAACUGCAGUGACAACUGUACCUCCUGUCUCUGUAGAGAAUAUGAUAGUACUUGCUUCCGAAUUAUCUGCGGAAGAAGAAAGAAUGUUAGUUCCUUAGCAUACAGAAUCGGACGUUGAAUUGGAAUCAUUACAUUUCCCUGUUGAACAUAAGUAAGA
Long non-coding RNA from Acromyrmex echinatior (Panamanian leafcutter ant), 902 nucleotides. RefSeq lists it as uncharacterized. NCBI's taxonomy places the organism in Eukaryota, Metazoa, Arthropoda, Insecta, Hymenoptera, Formicidae. The record is from RefSeq and is a predicted model, not a curated record.